CCAUCACCACUCCAUAUUGUCAGUGAACAUGGCGACUCCCGACAGUUCACAGGGGUUCAAUGCUGUUCAAGGGCAACAGAACAAGUCGAAGAAGAAUAAAAAGAUGAACAAAUCUAAAGAAGACAAAGAUGG
Long non-coding RNA from Homarus americanus (American lobster), 132 nucleotides. RefSeq lists it as uncharacterized. The transcript is spliced from 2 exons. Lineage: Eukaryota; Metazoa; Arthropoda; Malacostraca; Decapoda; Nephropidae. The record is from RefSeq and is a predicted model, not a curated record.